This 497-nucleotide ribosomal RNA is filed under the name uncultured bacterium. Its description in RNAcentral is "partial 16S ribosomal RNA". It matches the Rfam family "Bacterial small subunit ribosomal RNA", at positions 28 to 507 of the family's 1533-position model. The record is from RNAcentral.
GAUGAACGCUGGCGGCGUGCCUAAUACAUGCAAGUCGAGCGAACAGGCGAGGAGCUUGCUCCUCUGACGUUAGCGGCGGACGGGUGAGUAACACGUGGAUAACCUACCUAUAAGACUGGGAUAACUUCGGGAAACCGGAGCUAAUACCGGAUAAUAUAUUGAACCGCAUGGUUCAAUAGUGAAAGACGGCUUUGCUGUCACUUAUAGAUGGAUCCGCGCCGCAUUAGCUAGUUGGUAAGGUAACGGCUUACCAAGGCAACGAUGCGUAGCCGACCUGAGAGGGUGAUCGGCCACACUGGAGCUGAGACACGGUCCAGACUCCUACGGGAGGCAGCAGUAGGGAAUCUUCCGCAGAGGGCGAAAGCUUGACGGAGCAACGCCGCGUGAGUGAUGAAGGUCUUCGGAUCGUAAAACUCUGUUAUUAGGGAAGAACAAAUGUGUAAGUAACUAUGCACGUCUUGACGGUACCUAAUCAGAAAGCCACGGCUAACUACGUG